GAUGAACGCUGGCGGCGUGCCUAAUACAUGCAAGUCGAGCGAAUAGAUAAGGAGCUUGCUCCUUUGACGUUAGCGGCGGACGGGUGAGUAACACGUGGGUAACCUACCUAUAAGACUGGAAUAACUCCGGGAAACCGGGGCUAAUGCCGGAUAACAUUUAGAACCGCAUGGUUCUAAAGUGAAAGGUGGUUUUGCUAUCACUUAUAGAUGGACCCGCGCCGUAUUAGCUAGUUGGUAAGGUAACGGCUUACCAAGGCGACGAUACGUAGCCGACCUGAGAGGGUGAUCGGCCACACUGGAACUGAGACACGGUCCAGAUUCCUACGGGAGGCAGCAGUAGGGAAUCUUCCGCAAUGGGCGAAAGCCUGACGGAGCAACGCCGCGUGAGUGAUGAAGGCCUUCGGAUCGUAAAACUCUGUUGUUAGGGAAGAACAAAUUUGUUAGUAACUGAACAAGUCUUGACGGUACCUAACCAGAAAGCCACGGCUAACUACGUGCCAGCCGCCGCAGUAA
This 513-nucleotide ribosomal RNA is filed under the name uncultured bacterium. Its description in RNAcentral is "partial 16S ribosomal RNA". It matches the Rfam family "Bacterial small subunit ribosomal RNA", at positions 28 to 523 of the family's 1533-position model. The record is from RNAcentral.